CCAGGGUUUGACAUCCAGAGAAGCACUACGAAAGUAGAGUGUGCCUUUUGGAACUCUGUGACAGGUGUUGCAUGGCCGUCGUCAGCUCGUGUCGUGAGAUGUUUGGUUAAGUCCAUCAACGAGCGCAACCCUUGUGAAUAGUUGUAUUUUUCUAUUCAGACUGCUCUAGUAAUAGGGAGGAAGGAGGGGAUGAUGUCAGGUCAGUAUUACCCUUACAUCCUGGGCUAGAAACACGAUACAAUGGCUAGUACAAUGCGCAGCAAAGCCAGUCGUAGUCCGGAUCGCAGUCUGCAAUCCGACUGCGUGAAGUCUGAAUCGCUUUAAUCGUGGAUCACAUGUACGGUGAAUACGUUCCGGUCUUGACACACCGCCGUACACCAUGGGAGCGGGUCUGCUGAAUGGUAGCUACCCGACAGGCGACACACGCAGGCUCCGCUGGGUGAGCUACAAGGANCGAAUAUAUGAUCCGG
This 470-nucleotide ribosomal RNA is filed under the name uncultured bacterium. RNAcentral describes it as "bacterial SSU rRNA". It matches the Rfam family "Bacterial small subunit ribosomal RNA", at positions 974 to 1533 of the family's 1533-position model. The record is from RNAcentral.